RNAcentral lists this signal recognition particle RNA (299 nucleotides) under Aotus nancymaae (Ma's night monkey). Its description in RNAcentral is "Metazoan signal recognition particle RNA (ENSANAG00000007725.1)". It matches the Rfam family "Metazoan signal recognition particle RNA". From Rfam's summary of the family: The signal recognition particle (SRP) is a universally conserved ribonucleoprotein. It is involved in the co-translational targeting of proteins to membranes. The eukaryotic SRP consists of a 300-nucleotide 7S RNA and six proteins: SRPs 72, 68, 54, 19, 14, and 9. Lineage: Eukaryota; Metazoa; Chordata; Mammalia; Primates; Aotidae. The record is from RNAcentral.
GCUGGGCGCGGUGGCUCGUGCCUGUAGUCCCAGCUACUCGGGAGGCUGAGGUGGGAGGAUCGCUUGAGCCUAGGAGUUCUGGGCUGUAGUGCGCUAUGCCGAUCGGGUGUCUGCACUAAGUUCGACAUCAAUAUGGUGACCUCCUGGGAGCAGGGGACCACCAGGUUGCCUAAGGAGGGGUGAAUCGGCCCAGGUCGGAAACGGAGCAGGUCAAAACUCCCAUGCUGAUCAGUAGUGGGAUCGCGCCUGUGAAUAGCCACUGCACUCCAGCGUGGGCAACAUAGUGAGACCUCGUCUCU